This 102-nucleotide transfer RNA is filed under the name Candidatus Aenigmatarchaeota archaeon. RNAcentral describes it as "tRNA-Asp". It matches the Rfam family "tRNA". Rfam says of the family: Transfer RNA (tRNA) molecules are approximately 80 nucleotides in length. Their secondary structure includes four short double-helical elements and three loops (D, anti-codon, and T loops). The record is from RNAcentral. Lineage: Archaea; Nanobdellati; Candidatus Aenigmatarchaeota.
GCCGCGAUGGUGUAGUGGCCUAUCAUGUGUUCGAAAACACUGGGCUAAGCAUAGAGCUCUGUCACAGCUCUGACUCGGGUUCAAAUCCCGAUCGCGGCGCCA